This 378-nucleotide ribosomal RNA is filed under the name Bacillus mycoides. RNAcentral's name for it is "bacterial LSU rRNA". It matches the Rfam family "Bacterial large subunit ribosomal RNA", at positions 1 to 367 of the family's 2925-position model. The record is from RNAcentral. Lineage: Bacteria; Bacillati; Bacillota; Bacilli; Caryophanales; Bacillaceae.
GUUUGGUUAAGUUAGAAAGGGCGCACGGUGGAUGCCUUGACACUAGGAGUCGAUGAAGGACGGGACUAACGCCGAUAUGCUUCGGGGAGCUGUAAGUAAGCUUUGAUCCGAAGAUUUCCGAAUGGGGAAACCCACUAUACGUAAUGGUAUGGUAUCCUUACCUGAAUACAUAGGGUAUGGAAGACAGACCCAGGGAACUGAAACAUCUAAGUACCUGGAGGAAGAGAAAGCAAAUGCGAUUUCCUGAGUAGCGGCGAGCGAAACGGAAUCUAGCCCAAACCAAGAGGCUUGCCUCUUGGGGUUGUAGGACAUUCUAUACGGAGUUACAAAGGAACGAGGUAGACGAAGCGACCUGGAAAGGUCCGUCACAGAGGGUAA